Harpia harpyja (harpy eagle) is the source of this 461-nucleotide long non-coding RNA. RefSeq lists it as uncharacterized. The record is from RefSeq and is a predicted model, not a curated record. Lineage: Eukaryota; Metazoa; Chordata; Aves; Accipitriformes; Accipitridae. The transcript has 3 exons.
GAACAAAGAGCUAACUCUUCCUCCUGGAAGCCACAAGAAUUUGUAAGAACAGAGAUGAUGUGGGAAACCUUGUGCACUCUCUUCUGGGUGAUGUCAAGAGCAUUGCCAAACCUACCAUGUAAAAAGUACUCCAGAUAGUGAGGUGUGAAUGUGGCAGUCAGCUCCAUCACCAUUUCAAGCAUUCUCAGAUCAUUGGCUUUGCAGGAUAUUUCACUGAAGGAAUGAGAACAAAUCAACUACAAACUUGCAUGGAAAAAGCACACAAAUUUUAGAUGUCAAUCUCCAAUUACCAGUGGCUGAAAGGGCAAAGGACCCCACUCCAGUGCCACAGUCAAUAUUCCUCACAGUCUGGUCCCAUGUGCCGACGGGCUGGAGCACAGGAAUUGUCCUCCUGGAGUACCUUUCCGAUGUUGGUUUCACCCAAAAGUCUGAUGCCUGUGCUCUGACCUGCAGUGCAAGAA